This 483-nucleotide ribosomal RNA is filed under the name uncultured bacterium. RNAcentral describes it as "partial 16S ribosomal RNA". It matches the Rfam family "Bacterial small subunit ribosomal RNA", at positions 28 to 523 of the family's 1533-position model. The record is from RNAcentral.
GACGAACGCUGGCGGCGUGCCUAACACAUGCAAGUCGAACGAGGUCCAAGGGAGCUUGCUCCCUGAAGACCUAGUGGCGAACGGGUGAGUAACACGUGAGAAACCUGCCCUCGAGUGGGGAAUAACCCGGGGAAACCCGGGCUAAUACCGCAUACGCUCCCCUGGUCGCAUGGCCGGAGGAGGAAAGUUUUUCGCUCAAGGAGGGUCUCGCGGCCUAUCAGCUUGUUGGCGGGGUAACGGCCCACCAAGGCUACGACGGGUAGCUGGUUUGAGAGAACGAUCAGCCACACUGGGACUGAGACACGGCCCAGACUCCUACGGGAGGCAGCAGUGGGGAAUCUUGCGCAAUGGGCGAAAGCCUGACGCAGCAACGCCGCGUGCGGGAUGACGGCCUUCGUGGUUGUAAACCGCUUUCAGCAGGGACGAAAAUGACGGUACCUGCAGAAGAAGCUCCGGCUAACUACGUGCCAGCCGCCGCCGUAA